RNAcentral lists this ribosomal RNA (402 nucleotides) under Verrucomicrobiota bacterium. RNAcentral describes it as "Verrucomicrobia bacterium partial 16S ribosomal RNA". It matches the Rfam family "Bacterial small subunit ribosomal RNA", at positions 355 to 776 of the family's 1533-position model. The record is from RNAcentral. Lineage: Bacteria; Pseudomonadati; Verrucomicrobiota.
UGGGGAAUUUUGCACAAUGGGGGCAACCCUGAUGCAGCGACGCCGCGUGAUUUAGAAGGCCUUCGGGUUGUAAAAAUCUUUUGUAUGGGAAGAAAAUGACAGUACCAUACGAAUAAGGACCGGCUAAUUACGUGCCAGCAGCCGCGGUAAUACGUAAGGUCCGAGCGUUGUCCGGAAUCAUUGGGCGUAAAGGGUACGUAGGCGGAUAAGCAAGUUAGAAGUGAAAUCCUAUAGCUCAACUAUAGUAUGCUUUUAAAACUGCUCAUCUUGAGGUAUGGAAGGGAAAGUGGAAUUCCUAGUGUAGCGGUGAAAUGCGCAGAUAUUAGGAGGAAUACCGGUGGCGAAGGCGACUUUCUGGCCAUAUACUGACGCUGAGGUACGAAAGCGUGGGUAGCAAACAGG